AGAUUGAACGCUGGCGGCAGGCCUAACACAUGCAAGUCGAGCGGUAGAGAGGUGCUUGCACCUCUUGAGAGCGGCGGACGGGUGAGUAAUGCCUAGGAAUCUGCCUAGUGGUGGGGGAUAACGUUCGGAAACGGACGCUAAUACCGCAUACGUCCUACGGGAGAAAGCGGGGGACCUUCGGGCCUCGCGCCAUUAGAUGAGCCUAGGUCGGAUUAGCUAGUUGGUGAGGUAAUGGCUCACCAAGGCGACGAUCCGUAACUGGUCUGAGAGGAUGAUCAGUCACACUGGAACUGAGACACGGUCCAGACCUCCUACGGGA
This 319-nucleotide ribosomal RNA is filed under the name uncultured soil bacterium. RNAcentral describes it as "bacterial SSU rRNA". It matches the Rfam family "Bacterial small subunit ribosomal RNA", at positions 26 to 346 of the family's 1533-position model. The record is from RNAcentral.